GCAUGGAAUCCUAUAAAUGCUCUGCAUGUUUUCUAGUCUUGUUGCUUUUAAAAUGAGAAAAUAUGAACUCUUAUAAGUUAACAGCUGAUUUUGUGCAGCUCAAAUUUUAUCUUCAUUCUAGCAGUUGGAAAAGGAAGACAUAUGUCAUUUAGCUGUGUCUAUAGAACAAAGAAGUGAAAAUGUGACAAAUGGUGAAGUGGAAGAUCUACGCAAAGAGGUAAUAUUAACAGAAGAAGAACAAAGAAGAUAUGAUAUCCAUGGGGGUGUUCAGUCACUGAUUGUCUCUGAGCUUCUUCCACAGAAGAAUGUGAUUCAUUUACCUGUGACUACAGAUCAAAGAAUAGAAAAUAAGUCAGCCACAGAAAUGAA
This is a long non-coding RNA of Peromyscus leucopus (white-footed mouse), 369 nucleotides long. RefSeq lists it as uncharacterized. NCBI's taxonomy places the organism in Eukaryota, Metazoa, Chordata, Mammalia, Rodentia, Cricetidae. The record is from RefSeq and is a predicted model, not a curated record. The transcript is spliced from 3 exons.